RNAcentral lists this transfer RNA (74 nucleotides) under Kordia sp. SMS9. RNAcentral describes it as "tRNA-Cys". It matches the Rfam family "tRNA". Rfam says of the family: Transfer RNA (tRNA) molecules are approximately 80 nucleotides in length. The record is from RNAcentral. Lineage: Bacteria; Pseudomonadati; Bacteroidota; Flavobacteriia; Flavobacteriales; Flavobacteriaceae.
GACAAGGUGGCUGAAUGGCAAAGGCAGCAGUCUGCAAAACUGUUUUGUAUGAGUUCGAAUCUCAUCCUUGUCUC